This 253-nucleotide ribosomal RNA is filed under the name uncultured bacterium. RNAcentral's name for it is "partial 16S ribosomal RNA". It matches the Rfam family "Bacterial small subunit ribosomal RNA", at positions 524 to 776 of the family's 1533-position model. The record is from RNAcentral.
UACGAAGGGGGCUAGCGUUGCUCGGAAUCACUGGGCGUAAAGCGCCCGUAGGCGGGUUCUUAAGUCCGGGGUGAAAUCCUGGAGCUCAACUCCAGAACUGCCUUUGAUACUGGGAAUCUCGAGUCCGGGAGAGGUGAGUGGAACUGCGAGUGUAGAGGUGAAAUUCGUAGAUAUUCGCAAGAACACCAGUGGCGAAGGCGGCUCACUGGCCCGGUACUGACGCUGAGGUGCGAAAGCGUGGGGAGCAAACAGG